Long non-coding RNA from Coregonus clupeaformis (lake whitefish), 335 nucleotides. RefSeq lists it as uncharacterized. The transcript has 3 exons. The record is from RefSeq and is a predicted model, not a curated record. Lineage: Eukaryota; Metazoa; Chordata; Actinopteri; Salmoniformes; Salmonidae.
GUGUAGUGGAAGACUGUUGGCUGUGAUAUAGGUGUAGUGGAAGACUGUUGGCUGUAAGGCUGUGAUAUAGGUGUAGUGGAAGACUGUUGGCUGUAAGGCUGUGAUAUAGGUGUAGUGGAAGACUGUUGGCUGUAAGGCUGUGAUAUAGGUGUAGUGGAAGACUGUUGGCUGUAAGGCUGUGAUAUAGGUGUAGUGGAAGACUGUUGGCUGUAAGGCUGUGAUAUAGGUGUAGUGGAAGACUGUUGGCUGUAAGGCUGUGAUAUAGGUGUAGUGGAAGACUGUUGGCUGUAAGGCUGUGAUAUAGGUGUAGUGGAAGACUGUUGGUUGUAAGGCUG